GACGAGGGAUCCUAGCGUCGUUCGGAAUUACUGGGCGUAAAGCGCACGUAGGCGGCUUUGUAAGUCAGAGGUGAAAGCCUGGAGCUCAACUCCAGAACUGCCUUUGAGACUGCAUCGCUUGAAUCCAGGAGAGGUGAGUGGAAUUCCGAGUGUAGAGGUGAAAUUCGUAGAUAUUCGGAAGAACACCAGUGGCGAAGGCGGCUCACUGGACUGGUAUUGACGCUGAGGUGCGAAAGCGUGGGGAGCAAACAGG
This 253-nucleotide ribosomal RNA is filed under the name uncultured bacterium. Its description in RNAcentral is "partial 16S ribosomal RNA". It matches the Rfam family "Bacterial small subunit ribosomal RNA", at positions 524 to 776 of the family's 1533-position model. The record is from RNAcentral.